ACCCUGUGAGUGUGAUGGACGCAUGACAGUCUUCGAAACUGUCGGACGAGGUUCGAUUCCUCGACGGGGUAC
This 72-nucleotide transfer RNA is filed under the name Thalassoglobus neptunius. RNAcentral describes it as "Planctomycetes bacterium KOR42 tRNA-Arg". It matches the Rfam family "tRNA". From Rfam's summary of the family: Transfer RNA (tRNA) molecules are approximately 80 nucleotides in length. The record is from RNAcentral. Lineage: Bacteria; Pseudomonadati; Planctomycetota; Planctomycetia; Planctomycetales; Planctomycetaceae.